RNAcentral lists this ribosomal RNA (778 nucleotides) under uncultured bacterium. RNAcentral describes it as "bacterial SSU rRNA". It matches the Rfam family "Bacterial small subunit ribosomal RNA", at positions 59 to 801 of the family's 1533-position model. The record is from RNAcentral.
AAGUCGAACGAGUUCUCGUUGAUGAUCGGUGCUUGCACCGAGAUUCAACAUAGAACGAGUGGCGGACGGGUGAGUAACACGUGGGUAACCUGCCCUUAAGUGGGGGAUAACAUUUGGAAACAGAUGCUAAUACCGCAUAGAUCCAAGAACCGCAUGGUUCUUGGCUGAAAGAUGGCGUAAGCUAUCGCUUUUGGAUGGACCCGCGGCGUAUUAGCUAGUUGGUGAGGUAAUGGCUCACCAAGGCGAUGAUACGUAGCCGAACUGAGAGGUUGAUCGGCCACAUUGGGACUGAGACACGGCCCAAACUCCUACGGGAGGCAGCAGUAGGGAAUCUUCCACAAUGGACGCAAGUCUGAUGGAGCAACGCCGCGUGAGUGAAGAAGGCUUUCGGGUCGUAAAACUCUGUUGUUGGAGAAGAAUGGUCGGCAGAGUAACUGUUGUCGGCGUGACGGUAUCCAACCAGAAAGCCACGGCUAACUACGUGCCAGCAACCGCGGUAAUACGUAGGUGGCAAGCGUUAUCCGGAUUUAUUGGGCGUAAAGCGAGCGCAGGCGGUUUUUUAAGUCUGAUGUGAAAGCCCUCGGCUUAACCGAGGAAGCGCAUCGGAAACUGGGAAACUUGAGUGCAGAAGAGGACAGUGGAACUCCAUGUGUAGCGGUGAAAUGCGUAGAUAUAUGGAAGAACACCAGUGGCGAAGGCGGCUGUCUGGUCUGUAACUGACGCUGAGGCUCGAAAGCAUGGGUAGCGAACAGGAUUAGAUACCCUGGUAGUCCAUGCC